GGCUCAGGAUGAACGCUAGCUACAGGCUUAACACAUGCAAGUCGAGGGGAAACGAUAGAGAAAGCUUGCUUUUCUAGGCGUCGACCGGCGCACGGGUGAGUAACGCGUAUCCAACCUGCCCAUCACUUGGGGAUAACCUUGCGAAUGUAAGACUAAUACCCAAUGACGUCUCUAGAAGACAUCUGAAAGAGAUUAAAGAUUUAUCGGUGAUGGAUGGGGAUGCGUCUGAUUAGCUUGUUGGCGGGGUAACGGCCCACCAAGGCGACGAUCAGUAGGGGUUCUGAGAGGAAGGUCCCCCACAUUGGAACUGAGACACGGUCCAAACUCCUACGGGAGGCAGCAGUGAGGAAUAUUGGUCAAUGGACGAGAGUCUGAACCAGCCAAGUAGCGUGCAGGAUGACGGCCCUAUGGGUUGUAAACUGCUUUUAUAAGGGAAUAAAGUGGGAGUCGUGACUCUUUUUGCAUGUACCUUAUGAAUAAGGACCGGCUAAUUCCGUG
RNAcentral lists this ribosomal RNA (498 nucleotides) under uncultured bacterium. RNAcentral describes it as "bacterial SSU rRNA". It matches the Rfam family "Bacterial small subunit ribosomal RNA", at positions 21 to 507 of the family's 1533-position model. The record is from RNAcentral.